CACGUAGGGCGCAAGCGUUGUCCGGAAUUAUUGGGCGUAAAGAGCUCGUAGGCGGUCUGUUGCGUCCGCUGUGAAAACCCGGGGCUUAACCCCUGGCUUGCAGUGGAUACGGACAGACUAGAGGUAGGUAGGGGAGAAUGGAAUUCCCGGUGUAGCGGUGAAAUGCGCAGAUAUCGGGAGGAACAUCAGUGGCGAAGGCGGCCUUCUGGUCCAGUACUGACACUCAAGUGCGAAAGCGUGGGGAGCAAACAGG
Molecule: ribosomal RNA, 253 nt
Filed under: uncultured bacterium
Lineage: Bacteria
Description: partial 16S ribosomal RNA
Rfam family: Bacterial small subunit ribosomal RNA
Source: RNAcentral